RNAcentral lists this ribosomal RNA (546 nucleotides) under Diplocysta sp. WCW-2003. RNAcentral describes it as "partial 16S ribosomal RNA". Lineage: Eukaryota; Metazoa; Arthropoda; Insecta; Hemiptera; Tingidae. The record is from RNAcentral.
AUCAAAAACAUGUCCACCCGCUACGUCAGGAAGUUUCGGGGCCACAGCCUUGUGAUAUUCCUCGAUAUCUAUGGGGCCAUCGAAGAGAUCUGGCAUCCGGCCAGAAGACGUACCAGCCAAUAAAUAUCACCUAGUGUACAAUUACGCCUGUGAUCGGAUAGCCCUCGACAAGGCAAGGUGCCGCAUCUGCUUUUUUCCCUCGAAACAGUUUGUAUCGAAAGGAAGCAGCUGAAUACGAUGGUUGCCUUACUUAAUCCCACGGAUACUUUGUUUUGAAGGCUCUCAAGUUAAUUUGAUGACGUAAACUUUUAAUCUAUAUUAUCUUACCGAAAUUAAAAGACUGAAUGUCAUCAGUGAUCAGCAUGAUGUAGAUGAAAUUCCCUGUAAACAGGGACAAGGCUCCCCAGUAAAAGAAAUUAUCGUAGUAGGAGUCUUCCCGCUGGAAAUGGAUUUUUACACAAUUAAAGUGAUGACCACCUUGAAUGCGUAAAGUAAGGAUAUUUACCGAUUUUCUAUCCGGAAGAAUGUACACGACGAUAAGACCCU